Molecule: long non-coding RNA, 4150 nt
Organism: Oncorhynchus keta (chum salmon)
Lineage: Eukaryota; Metazoa; Chordata; Actinopteri; Salmoniformes; Salmonidae
Exons: 3
Source: RefSeq, a predicted model, not a curated record
UGAGUGUUUGGAGCAAUACUGGCUGUAUCCAAGGCUCAGCCAAUCGUUUUACAUAACAGAAUGCAGCACGCGAUUGGAGAGAGAAGAGACGACCAACUUACUAUUUACAGCAUCAGCCUGCGCUCUGAAAGACAGUUUGCCAGUUAACUCACAGCAGCGCGUCCCCUGAACCAUAACGAAGAGGUACUGUAGGUCAGAAGCCUGACCACGGAGACGGAGACGGGGGGGGGGUGAGAAGGUGAUGAAGCAGUACUUCAUGACCUGUAACCGAAAUAACACCUGGCAUUUGGAAAGUUUGAGGUGAGGGAGACAGUGUGGUGGAACAAGUUUUGUUGGCACUGUGAAGUAUCUUGCUAGCGGGAUCGAAUUCUCCGUUAGCUAGCCAGAGAAAUGUUGAGCAACAUUAGCCAACUUAUUAAAUAAUAGAGUUUAUGGUGUGAAAAUUAGCAGGCUCAUAAAGUCAGACAGCUAACGUUACAACAUCAGAUGAGCUGACGUUAGUAACCUAACCAAUUCAAUAUAGUAUUAACUGGUAUACGACUCCUUGCCGUUCAUCAAGUUAUAACGCGUUAGUUGCUUACUGGACCCUGGAAAUCGGUGUGAAUGGUAACGAACUAACUACUAUCUGUGAACUGAUGUUUUCCCUCAGAAGUAUGUGGUUCAUUUUCAGAAGGAGAGAAUUAGGUGAAAAUGAGUUGUUGCUUGUUAAACAGGUGGAUUCAGGGAUGAGGUGUAGCUGGUUAAACAGGUGGAUUCAGGGAUGAGGUGUAGCUGGUUAAACAGGUGGAUUCAGGGAUGAGGUGUAGCUGGGCCUGGUUUAACAGGUGGAUUCAGGGAUGAGGUGUAGCUGGGCCUGGUUUAACAGGUGGAUUCAGGGAUGAGGUGUAGCUGGUUUAACAGGUGGAUUCAGGGAUGAGGUGUAGCUGGGCCUGGUUUAACAGGUGGAUUCAGGGAUGAGGUGUAGCUGGGCCUGGUUUAACAGGUGGAUUCAGGGAUGAGGUGUAGCUGGUUUAACAGGUGGAUUCAGGGAUGAGGUGUAGCUGGGCCUGGUUUAACAGGUGGAUUCAGGGAUGUGGUGUAGCUGGGCCUGGUUUAACAGGUGGAUUCAGGGAUGAGGUGUAGCUGGGCCUGGUUUAACAGGUGGAUUCAGGGAUGAGGUGUAGCUGGGCCUGGUUUAACAGGUGGAUUCAGGGAUGAGGUGUAGCUGGAGCUGGUUUAACAGGUGGAUUCAGGGAUGAAGUGGAGCUGGGCCUGGUUUAACAGGUGGAUUCAGGGAUGAAGUGGAGCUGGGCCUGGUUUAACAGGUGGAUUCAGGGAUGAAGUGGAGCUGGGCCUGGUUUAACAGGUGGAUUCAGGGAUGAAGUGGAGCUGGGCCUGGUUUAACAGGUGGAUUCAGGGAUGAGGUGUAGCUGGGCCUGGUUUAACAGGUGGAUUCAGGGAUGAAGUGGAGCUGGGCCUGGUUUAACAGGUGGAUUCAGGGAUGAGGUGUAGCUGGGCCUGGUUUAACAGGUGGAUUCAGGGAUGAAGUGGAGCUGGGCCUGGUUUAACAGGUGGAUUCAGGGAUGAGGUGUAGCUGGGCCUGGUUUAACAGGUGGAUUCAGGGAUGAAGUGGAGCUGGGCCUGGUUUAACAGGUGGAUUCAGGGAUGAGGUGUAGCUGGGCCUGGUUUAACAGGUGGAUUCAGGGAUGAAGUGGAGCUGGGCCUGGUUUAACAGGUGGAUUCAGGGAUGAGGUGUAGCUGGGCCUGGUUUAACAGGUGGAUUCAGGGAUGAGGUGUAGCUGGAGCUGGUUUAACAGGUGGAUUCAGGGAUGAGGUGGAGCUGGUUUAACAGGUGGAUUCAGGGAUGAAGUGUAGCUGGGCCUGGUUUAACAGGUGGAUUCAGGGAUGAGGUGUAGCUGGGCCUGGUUUAACAGGUGGAUUCAGGGAUGAAGUGGAGCUGGGCCUGGUUUAACAGGUGGAUUCAGGGAUGAGGUGUAGCUGGGCCUGGUUUAACAGGUGGAUUCAGGGAUGAAGUGGAGCUGGGCCUGGUUUAACAGGUGGAUUCAGGGAUGAAGUGGAGCUGGGCCUGGUUUAACAGGUGGAUUCAGGGAUGAGGUGUAGCUGGGCCUGGUUUAACAGGUGGAUUCAGGGAUGAAGUGGAGCUGGGCCUGGUUUAACAGGUGGAUUCAGGGAUGAAGUGGAGCUGGGCCUGGUUUAACAGGUGGAUUCAGGGAUGAGGUGUAGCUGGUUUAACUGGUGGAUUCAGGGAUGAGGUGUAGCUGGGCCUGGUUUAACAGGUGGAUUCAGGGAUAAAGUGGAGCUGGUUUAACAGGUGGAUUCAGGGAUGAGGUGUAGCUGGGCCUGGUUUAACAGGUGGAUUCAGGGAUGAGCUGGAGCUGGUUUAACAGGUGGAUUCAGGGAUGAAGUGUAGCUGGGCCUGGUUUAACAGGUGGAUUCGGGGAUGAGGUGUAGCUGGGCCUGGUUUAACAGGUGGAUUCAGGGAUGAGGUGUAGCUGGGCCUGGUUUAACAGGUGGAUUCAGGGAUGCGGUGUAGCUGGGCCUGGUUUAACAGGUGGAUUCGGGGAUGAGGUGUAGCUGGGCCUGGUUUAACAGGUGGAUUCGGGGAUGAAGUGGAGCUGGGCCUGGUUUAACAGGUGGAUUCAGGGAUGAGGUGUAGCUGGGCCUGGUUUAACAGGUGGAUUCAGGGAUGAAGUGGAGCUGGGCCUGGUUUAACAGGUGGAUUCAGGGAUGAAGUGGAGCUGGGCCUGGUUUAACAGGUGGAUUCAGGGAUGAGGUGUAGCUGGGCCUGGUUUAACAGGUGGAUUCAGGGAUGAAGUGGAGCUGGGCCUGGUUUAACAGGUGGAUUCAGGGAUGAAGUGUAGCUGGGCCUGGUUUAACAGGUGGAUUCAGGGAUGAGGUGUAGCUGGUUUAACUGGUGGAUUCAGGGAUGAGGUGUAGCUGGGCCUGGUUUAACAGGUGGAUUCAGGGAUAAAGUGGAGCUGGUUUAACAGGUGGAUUCAGGGAUGAGGUGUAGCUGGGCCUGGUUUAACAGGUGGAUUCAGGGAUGAGCUGGAGCUGGUUUAACAGGUGGAUUCAGGGAUGAAGUGUAGCUGGGCCUGGUUUAACAGGUGGAUUCGGGGAUGAGGUGUAGCUGGGCCUGGUUUAACAGGUGGAUUCAGGGAUGAGGUGUAGCUGGGCCUGGUUUAACAGGUGGAUUCAGGGAUGAGGUGUAGCUGGGCCUGGUUUAACAGGUGGAUUCAGGGAUGCGGUGUAGCUGGGCCUGGUUUAACAGGUGGAUUCGGGGAUGAGGUGUAGCUGGGCCUGGUUUAACAGGUGGAUUCGGGGAUGAAGUGGAGCUGGGCCUGGUUUAAACUGGAUGCCACUAUAGAGGUGAAAGAAACACCACACACUUUCCGUCUUUCUCAAUACGGAGUUAUGCCAGGCGUUACUUUGCCUGAAAGAGAUCAAUUAUGCCAACAAACGGUCUCAUUCAUGGGGCGGCAGGUAGUCUCGUGGUUAGAGUGUAGGGUCCGCAGGGUAGCCUAGUGGUUAGAGUGUAGGGUCCGCAGGGUAGCCUAGUGGUUAGAGUGUAGGGUCCGCAGGGUAGCCUAGUGGUUAGAGUGUAGGGUCCGCAGGGUAGCCUAGUGGUUAGAGUGUAGGGUCCGCAGGGUAGCCUAGUGGUUAGAGUGUAGGGUCCGCAGGGUAGCCUAGUGGUUAGAGCGUUGGGCCUGUAACUGAAAGGUUGCUAGAUUGAAUCCCCGAGCUGACAAGGUAGAAAUCUGUUUUUUUUUUGUCCCUGAACAAGGCAGUUAACCCACUGUUCCUAGGACGUCGUUGUAAAUAAGAAUUUGUUCUUAACUGACUUGCCAAGUUAAAUAAAUGUAAAAUAAAACAAUUCUCUGCUGGCACAUUGUAGAACAGAUGUCCACAGGCAGAACGUGCACAGUGUAAUAACCUGCAGUGUAGCCUAAAGAUAUGGUUUUAGUUGUGUUGAACUUGACAGUAACACCUGAGAGUGAGGAGGAUUAUUCCAUGUUUUACUCAGUGAAUGUUAUUUUUCCACACAUGAAGCCUUGUGCACUUGAUCGACGUCUACUAUCGUGGCCACUAUAUAAUAGAACAAAAAUAGAAUCCCUGUUCUGUUUCAUUCUAUUUCUACUUUAAGAUGUUU